GUGGGGAUGUGGCCCAAGUGGUAGCGUGCCCGCCUGACAUGCGCGAGGCACUGGGUUUGAUCCUCAACACCACA
This 74-nucleotide transfer RNA is filed under the name Marmota monax (woodchuck). Its description in RNAcentral is "tRNA.Val". The record is from RNAcentral. Lineage: Eukaryota; Metazoa; Chordata; Mammalia; Rodentia; Sciuridae.